RNAcentral lists this ribosomal RNA (1455 nucleotides) under Candidatus Pelagibacter communis. Its description in RNAcentral is "bacterial SSU rRNA". It matches the Rfam family "Bacterial small subunit ribosomal RNA". Lineage: Bacteria; Pseudomonadati; Pseudomonadota; Alphaproteobacteria; Candidatus Pelagibacterales; Candidatus Pelagibacteraceae. The record is from RNAcentral.
AGAGUUUGAUCAUGGCUCAGAACGUACGCUGGCGGCACGCCUAACACAUGCAAGUCGAACGAAGUAGCAAUACUUAGUGGCAGACGGGUGAGUAACAUGUAGGUAUCUGCCCUUUGGCCUGGAAUAACACGAGGAAACUUGUGCUAAUACCGGAUAAGUCUUUACGGAGAAAGCUUUAUGCACCAUUGGAUGAGCCUGCACUUGAUUAGUUUGUUGGUGGGGUAAUGGCCUACCAAGACUGUGAUCAAUAGCUGAUUUGAGAGGAUGAUCAGCCACAUUGGGACUGAGACACGGCCCAAACUCCUACGGGAGGCAGCAGUGGGGAAUCUUGCACAAUGGAGGAAACUCUGAUGCAGCGAUGCCGCGUGAGUGAAGAAGGCCUUUGGGUUGUAAAGCUCUUUCGUCGGGGAAGAAAAUGACUGUACCCGAAUAAGAAGGUCCGGCUAACUUCGUGCCAGCAGCCGCGGUAAUACGAAGGGACCUAGCGUAGUUCGGAAUUACUGGGCUUAAAGAGUUCGUAGGUGGUUGAAAAAGUUAGUGGUGAAAUCCCAGAGCUUAACUCUGGAACUGCCAUUAAAACUUUUCAGCUAGAGUAUGAUAGAGGAAAGCAGAAUUUCUAGUGUAGAGGUGAAAUUCGUAGAUAUUAGAAAGAAUACCAAUUGCGAAGGCAGCUUUCUGGAUCAUUACUGACACUGAGGAACGAAAGCAUGGGUAGCGAAGAGGAUUAGAUACCCUCGUAGUCCAUGCCGUAAACGAUGUGUGUUAGACGUUGGAAAUUUAUUUUCAGUGUCGCAGCGAAAGCGAUAAACACACCGCCUGGGGAGUACGACCGCAAGGUUAAAACUCAAAUGAAUUGACGGGGACCCGCACAAGUAGUGGAGCAUGUGGUUUAAUUCGAAGAUACGCGCAGAACCUUACCAACACUUGACAUGUUCGUCGCGACUUUAAGAGAUUAAAGUUUUCGGUUCGGCCGGACGAAACACAGGUGCUGCAUGGCUGUCGUCAGCUCGUGUCGUGAGAUGUUGGGUUAAGUCCCGCAACGAGCGCAACCCUCACUUUUAGUUGCCAUCAUUAAGUUGGGCACUCUGAAAGAACUGCCAGUGAUAAGCUGGAGGAAGGUGGGGAUGACGUCAAGUCCUCAUGGCCCUUACGUGUUGGGCUACACACGUGCUACAAUGGUAUCUACAACAGGAAGCAAAACUGCGAAGUUAAGCAAAUCCUUAAAAGAUACCUCAGUUCGGAUUGCACUCUGCAACUCGAGUGCAUGAAGCUGGAAUUACUAGUAAUCGUGGAUCAGCGUGCCACGGUGAAUGCGUUCCCGGGUCUUGUACACACCGCCCGUCACACCAUGGGAGUUGGUUCUACCUUAAGGCAAGGUUUCAAACCCUUGACCACGGUAUAGUCAGCGACUGGGGUGAAGUCGUAACAAGGUAGCCGUAGGGGAACCUGCGGCUG